This is an RNA transcript of Carassius gibelio (silver crucian carp), 6208 nucleotides long. It is a transcript of the gene named phospholipid phosphatase-related protein type 5-like, with no coding region annotated. The record is from RefSeq and is a predicted model, not a curated record. The transcript is spliced from 6 exons. NCBI's taxonomy places the organism in Eukaryota, Metazoa, Chordata, Actinopteri, Cypriniformes, Cyprinidae.
GUCUUUAUUUAGGUUGAAUGAGAAACACUGAAUGAAGGCGAGCUUCUUUUGUAAGUCGCUUAUGAGCGUGUUCACACCCUCAUUGUGUUUCACACUCAUCCCAAAUGUCACUUGCGCGCACGCGGACACACGCACGCAGCCGAGCCAAUUUGUGUCCACUCAGGCUCCAAUCCCCGUUGACUCUCGCAGCACCGGUCCCCGUUUCCCUCUCUCCUCUCGCUCGCUCUGUGCGGAUCUCCUCUCCUCGCGGAAGAACAGCAUGCAACGCUCUCAGUAUCACGAAGCCGGAGCGUUUGCGCGCGUGCGUCUCUGAUUGUGCGGUCGCGCGCUGGCUGUGGCGGAGCGACUUGUUCUCUGGUUGUAACGCGUGGAUCAUGUUUUAUUUUCAGCUGGUGAUCAUGGCAGGCACCGUUCUCCUGGCGUACUACUUCGAAUACACGGACACCUUCCCCGUGCACAUCCAGGGGUUCUUCUGCUUCGACAAGACGUUCUCCAAACCUUACCCCGGACCCGAGGAGAGGAGUAACGUACCGCCGGUGCUCGUGUACUCUCUGGUAGCCGCUAUUCCCACGAUAACCAUUCUGGCUGGUGAGGUGAUGGUGUUUUUCGGGAGGUCGGAGGGCGUGCAGGAGAAGACCAUAGUCACAGCCGACUGCUGUUACUUCAACCCUCUGCUGAGACGCAUCAUACGCUUCCUAGGUGUCUAUACCUUCGGCGUGUUCACCACCACCAUCUUUGCCAACGCCGGACAGGUAGUAACAGGAAACCAGACGCCUCACUUCCUGUCAGCAUGCAGACCAAACUACACAGCACUGGGCUGCCAUUCCAACCUCCAGUACAUCACAGAGCGCAAAGCCUGCACGGGAAACCCCCUCCUAGUAGCAUCUGCACGGAAAUCCUUUCCCUCCAAAGAUGCGGCCCUCAGUGUUUAUUCUGCAGUCUAUACAGUAAUGUACGUGACGUUGGUGUUCAGGACUAAAGGGACGCGUCUGACCAAACCCACACUCAGUCUGACUCUGCUGUGUCUGGCCAUGCUGGUGGGUGUGGUCCGAGUGGCUGAAUACCGAAACCACUGGGCCGACGUCCUCGCUGGAUACUUCACCGGCGGAGCCAUCGCUGUCUUUCUGGUGAUGUGUGUGAUCAACAACUUUCAACAGACAAAGCCCCCACCCCCGCCGGUGCGACCCCAGCGCCCUGAGUCUGUCCUGGGCAUGCCCAUGGUGGCGCUGCCCUGCGUAGAGAGUCCACUUGAAAAGUUAAGUGGCACUCAGGUAAGGGGUGGGAGCGGGUUAGUGGCAGGGCUGCACACAUAAGGGGGAUGGAUUACGCCCCACCCAGUGGACCCUAAUGUGACUCCCGAGACCCACUCAGCCCUCCUUCUUCCUUUACUAGCAUGUCCAACCUGCACAACCCAAACACCAACCACAGUUGCUCUGGAGGAUUGAUCGGCUAAGAGACGUUAGAUUACUUUUAUAACUAAGGCCUGGUUCACACGGGACGAUUUUAAAAUUGUCGGCAGAUUUUCCAAACCUGAGAGACCCCACACACGGCGAUAAAAAAUCACGGGUCUAACAGUUUUGGUCGCUCCGUGUGUGGUGUGCAGCCACACGGCAAUAUCAACACAUCACACACGAACCGAUUUGACUCCCGAGCAUUCCCAGGUCAGACGGGAAAUCUCGCAAAAUCCCUCGAGAUCAAACGUGACUUUAGAGUAAACAAUCAUGGCGGACAAAGAGGAUGCAGUGGCCAUUGUUUGUGCUUUGUUUUUAACGGGGAAAAAAACAUAAGAAAAAUAAGAAAAGGCGAUGGUCAAAGAGGCGGAGACGACGCGAGCAUGGACUAUACUUGCUAUAUCAUGAUAUGGAGAUAAGUUGUUGUUUUAUCUCAUAGAAAUGUUGUUACGUACUACACAGAUUAAUAACCGUUGAAAUAAACGUUCAUAUAUUAGUUUCCAUGUGCUCUGGUGGACUGCAGUUGUGGAUGUAGUUAUGCCCAUCGACUUUAUUUGUAUUUGUUAUAUUAUAUACGCCGGCUGUUUUGAUUUUGUUUCCCGGUACUAUCACUGCCUCGUCACCUCACUUUCUGAUUGGCUACACGCCACAGUCCACAGGCUGCGUGAUUGUUUGUCCUCGGGGGACACCACACACGAGAAGAAAUCGGGCAAAAUAAAUCCAACAUGUUGGAUAUCCCCGAUUUGAGAUCGGAGCGGUCCCGACAUUCUUCCGAGCAGAGGAGAUUAGUCUUAACACACCACACACGGCAGGAAUAUUUGAUCAGAUUAUUUUACGAUAAUCGGAGCAUCCUAAGAUUGUCGGAAGUGCUGAAUCGGGGCUAAAAUCGGCCCAAUUAUCCUGCCGUGUGAACCAGCCUUAAGAGUAACUAGGACGCAGCUGAAUGUUUAGGGCCAUUAACUCAUUGAUCCCUCAGUGGCUUGAUGGGAAUUCUUUAAAGCAGAUGUACCUUUACGAAAAAGCAAAUGGACUGUGUAGCAUGAGGAACUACAAAGACGGAAGGUCGUUAGAUGGUGCAUUCUGGGAAAAAUGAGCACAGUACUCCAAGGGGAUCUCCAUUCACUGAGAUCACAUGACCAUCAGCCUCAUCGGUUCCCCGUCCCCCCCGAUGUCCUCAUACCGUCUCGCUCCAUUUCCAGCGAAGUGUAGACCAGCCGUCCCAACACGCGCACCACUGCGCCGCCCACUCCACGGGACGCUCCGCCGCUCUGCACCGCUCCUACUCGACGCAGGUCUAGAUUUUCUCACCUCCAACCCCUCAUCCUCCAUAUUCCUCCAUGCUGACAAUAGGGCCUUCACAAACCACAAGAAACACUUUUAGAGAGCCUGCUCGGAGAUCCCGAACGCCUGAAUGAAAGCCAUAAAUCACAGGUAGGCAUCUCUGUCUUGCCAGAGAGUUUGUUUGGACUGUGGGUGGAGGAUUCGCACCUGUUUAGACCUCUCAAAACCAACCCGACCUACUUCCUGGGGAACCGAUGAAGAUGUCUUGAUCAGCUUUUGGCUGAAAUUCUGAAUUUUGGCUGCAAAUUUUACUGCAGUGUCAGUUUGUAUGUAAAUACAUGCACUGUUUUCUUGGUCUUUUGUUAAAAGCAUGUCUAUUUUGUUCAUUUGGGUUAUUAUAUGUCCUCUUUGUGUUGUUUUGUUUUCCAGACAGAGUUCUUAAAUUGCCUAAAAUGUCCAGGUUUUGGCUUUUACUUUCCUAUUGUUUUCUGGAAAAUGCUUUGACCAAUAGCGUGCAGGUAUUGUACAUAAUCAACCAAUCGUGGCGGGAUCUACAGAGAAUGGUCAAAGCAACGCAAAUACACAUAAAAUAACAUACACGUAUUGUAAAGAGCAAGUCAAUAGAAAACAAAGCCAAAGUCAGGAAAUUUUUGCCAAUUUAGAAACCAUGGCCUGGACAUAUCUAGGAAAAAGAGAGCGUGUGGUCACCUUAGCACUGAUGGAGUUUCUAAGAUAUGUUUUUAAAAUCCUCACAGUGUACGGUUUUGGCAAAGACAUACGUAAAGUAAUAUUUGUUUGUAUUUUGAGCUUUUAUCACUAUGCACUUGGGACAUCUCAUCAGCAUCGGCUAUCUGGACGUCCUGUAAGUGCACAUCAACCUCGUUCUUGAUACCAGCUCUAAUAAUAAUGUUUGGAUGCAUCAUAAGGAAUUGACAGACAGAAUGACAGUCAACCACAGCAUUGUUUUGUAAUAUUUAAUAUCCGGUUUGUGCUCGCAAGGAUUUCUUCACCAGCUAGAUGUAAUGCACAGUCUGACAUGAAGGCCUUUUCAUUACUGUCACCACAGGUACAACACAAGGCUUUCAGACAGGAGACAUUCUUACAGUUUGUCAUCAAUGUUCAAACUAAAUUCAGUACAACACAAUAUAGAAAUUAUUAGAUAGAAAUCAAAAGAUAGCUCGAUAAAUAGAAAUCGCUGUCCGGUUGCACUUAUAUAAGACCAAACCCAUUCCCACUCUUUGGAAACAGCACAGAAUGCAUUGUAAUACAGUGGGACGUUACCGUUUGAAGUUAUUUGAGCGAUUUGUUGACUGGUUAACAUGAUGUACUGCCUAGGUGAUGAAAGAUGAAAGAAAAUAGUUGUUUCAGUAAUGGAUUGAGAGUUGAAACUUUGAUGAAAAAUUGAGACAAACAUUACUUUCCAUUGGAAGAACAUGCACUGAUGAAUAAUUGGUAAUAAGUCCAGGAAAGUGUUUUAAAGGAAUAGUUCACCCAAAAAUAAAACAAAUUGCUGCAAAUGUACUCACCCUCAGGCAAUAAAAGAUGUAGAUGAGUCUUCAUCUGAUCAGAUUUGGAGAAAUGUAGCAUUACAUCACUUGCUCAUCAGUGGAUCCUCUGCAGUGAAUGGGUACCGUCAGAAUGAGAGUCCAAACAUCUUAUAAAAACAUCACAAUUAUCUCCACAACUCCAGUCCAUUUCUUUUGAAGAAAAAUAUAAGCAAAAGGAUAACAGGAUACAUUUUUCACUGGAGUAAGCGUUAGAAUGUUAUUUUUGGCCAGAAGCAGCAGUUCAAGUGGUUUAAAGUUAAAAUGUCUUGAUGGAUUUGUUUCUUACAAACAUGCAACUUUUCACUUCACAAGACAUUAACUGAUGACUGGAGUGGUGUGGAUUAUUGUGAUGUUUUUAUCAGCUGUUUCGACUCUCAUUCUGACGGCACCCAUUCACUGCAGAGCAUCCAUUGAUGAGCAAGUGACAAUGCUAAAUUUCUCCAAAUCUGUUCCCAUGAAGAAACAAAUGAAUCUUUAUCUUGCAUGGCCUGAGGGUUUGUAAAGCAAAUUAACUUUUUUUUUUUGAUAAACUACUCCUUUAAGAAAUUAAAUUCUGAAAAGAAAUUCUGAGCAAAUGGUUAAGUGUGGCAGCUAAAAUAAAGUAUUGCUCAAAGAUUCAUGUGCUCAUGUUUGAUCAACUAUAAUAGAUUUUCUACACCGAGGAUGUUCAUGAGAGACUGAGAGAGUCAAUUGCCUGGAUGUGUUGUACCAUAUAUUAACCAAGUGUUGUGCAUUUCAUCAUUUUAUUGAUAUCUGUUAGAUCUGUUUUAUUUGACCCUCACAUUCUUUUUUUAACUUGUCCCUUUUAGACUUGCACUUAGACUUGUUUUCUUAAAAAACACUAGCUUUCAAAUCUUUUUUUUUAUGCUAUAUGUUUUCUUUUCAUUUAUUAUACAACUAACAAAAGCAAAAAGACCUCUAACACUAGCUUGCUCUAUUCUUUUUUCUAUUCUAUUGAUCUUUUUUUAUAUUAUUUAAAAAUCCUUUGCUAUGCGUACUGCGUUAAUUGUUAAUUGAGUCUUGUAUAUCAUUGCUCUUUUAAGUGUGAUGAAAAUGUUAAAAUGGAUGUUAUUCAGAUUUUUAAAAAACGUUUGCUUUCAAUUACAUUUCUUUUCUAACUUAGUGUUUACUUAGACUAAUUGUUUGGUACUGUAAGUAAGCUGUGUGUACAAAUCGUGUGUACUUUUAUCAGAUGAGUGUAAACGCUCAACCUUGCUGCACUCCAAAUGGAUGAAAAUUAAUGUUUGUAACAUUAACUGUGACAUCUAAUCUAUCUGAUGCCCCUCAGCCUUUACAUCCCGGCCCCAGGUCCAGCCUCUGCCACAUUCUGUGCUACGUACAGUUACUGUCUCUGUUGUAAGAGCAGCAUCUACACAUGCUAAGAAACACCUUCUCACCAUUGAAACACUCCAUCAAAGGUGAUGUCUGCAAUUUUUUACCACUGGAAAGUCAAUUUACAACAGCAGUGGCUGAUCUCAAACAGGUUUCCCUCUAUAAUUGGUCAGCUAAACAGCAAGCCCCGCCCCCAAACCCACGCUAUUGGAUGUGCCAAUGCUGCUGUUUCGAGCUGGUCAGGACUCUCAGAGAAAUGGAGCAAGAGACAGUCACAGCCAUACAGUGUUUACACUUUUUGGGCGAAUCAAGCUGCGAAUGGUUUAUUUAGAGUUUGCAGCAUUUCAAGACUGAAAGAAUUACAUGCUUCACCUAUAAAAAAAAAAAAGCUGUGAUCUGUAGCGCUCAGCUCUCUUAUUCCUUCUUCCAUACAUACAACUGAAAAUAUGUUUGUACAGUUUUGCAAAUAAGUCUUUUUGUAUAAAAAAAAAGAAAAAAAGUUUUGCACACCGUAUUGUUACAUUAUUGAUUUUUUUGUUUGUUUGUUUUUUUCAAAUAGAUCUGUGUUUUGGGUAACUGAAUAAAGUGUGACAUGCC